CCUACGGGUGGCAGCAGUGGGGAAUAUUGGGCAAUGGGCGCAAGCCUGACCCAGCAACGCCGCGUGAAGGAAGAAGGCUCUCGGGUUGUAAACUUCCUUUAUUAGGGACGAAGCAAGCGACGGUACCUGAUGAAUAAGCCACGGCUAACUACGUGCCAGCAGCCGCGGUAAUACGUAGGCGGCAAGCGUUAUCCGGAUUUACUGGGUGUACAGGGUGUGUAGGCGGGAAAGCAAGUCAGAUGUGAAAACCAUGGGCGCAACCUGUGGCCUGCAUUUGAAACUGUUUUUCUUGAGUACUGGAGAGGCAGACGGAAUUCCUAGUGUAGCGGUGAAAUGCGUAGAUAUUAGGAGGAACACCAGUGGCGAAGGCGGUCUGCUGGACAGCAACUGACGCUGAGGCGCGAAAGCGUGGGGAGCAAACAGGAUUAGAUACCCCGGUAGUC
Molecule: ribosomal RNA, 443 nt
Filed under: uncultured bacterium
Lineage: Bacteria
Description: partial 16S ribosomal RNA
Rfam family: Bacterial small subunit ribosomal RNA
Source: RNAcentral